UACGUAGGUGGCAAGCGUUGUCCGGAUUUACUGGGCGUAAAGAGCGCGCAGGCGAUCGUCCAAGUCGAAUGUGAAAGCCCCCGGCUCAACUGGGGAGGGUCAUUCGAUACUGUUCGACUCGAAGGCAGGAGAGGGAAGUGGAAUUCCGGGUGUAGUGGUGAAAUGCGUAGAUAUCCGGAGGAACACCAGUGGCGAAGGCGACUUUCUGGCCUGUUUCUUGACGCUGAGGCGCGAAAGCUAGGGGAGCAAACGGG
RNAcentral lists this ribosomal RNA (254 nucleotides) under uncultured bacterium. RNAcentral describes it as "partial 16S ribosomal RNA". It matches the Rfam family "Bacterial small subunit ribosomal RNA", at positions 524 to 776 of the family's 1533-position model. The record is from RNAcentral.